UACGGAGGGUGCGAAAGUUAAUCGGAAUUACUGGGCGUAAAGCGUCCGUAGGCGGCUUGUUAAGUCUGAUGAGAAAGCCCUGUGCUUAACCUGGGAACGGCAUUGGAAACUGGCGAGCUAGAGUUCGGUAGAUGGUGGUGGAAGUCCCGGUGUAGCGGUGAAAUGCGUAGAGUUCGGGAGGAACACCGGUGGCGAAGGCGGCCUCCUGGACCGAGGCUGACGCUGAGGGACGAAAGCGUGGGGAGCAAACAGG
This 253-nucleotide ribosomal RNA is filed under the name uncultured bacterium. RNAcentral's name for it is "partial 16S ribosomal RNA". It matches the Rfam family "Bacterial small subunit ribosomal RNA", at positions 524 to 776 of the family's 1533-position model. The record is from RNAcentral.